RNAcentral lists this ribosomal RNA (435 nucleotides) under Salmonella enterica subsp. enterica serovar Enteritidis. Its description in RNAcentral is "partial 23S ribosomal RNA". It matches the Rfam family "Bacterial large subunit ribosomal RNA", at positions 127 to 603 of the family's 2925-position model. The record is from RNAcentral. Lineage: Bacteria; Pseudomonadati; Pseudomonadota; Gammaproteobacteria; Enterobacterales; Enterobacteriaceae.
CCCAGUGUGACUCGUCACACUAUCAUUAACUGAAUCCAUAGGUUAAUGAGGCGAACCGGGGGAACUGAAACAUCUAAGUACCCCGAGGAAAAGAAAUCAACCGAGAUUCCCCCAGUAGCGGCGAGCGAACGGGGAGGAGCCCAGAGCCUGAAUCAGCAUGUGUGUUAGUGGAAGCGUCUGGAAAGGCGCGCGAUACAGGGUGACAGCCCCGUACACAAAAGCGCAUGUGCUGUGAGCUCGAUGAGUAGGGCGGGACACGUGGUAUCCUGUCUGAAUAUGGGGGGACCAUCCUCCAAGGCUAAAUACUCCUGACUGACCGAUAGUGAACCAGUACCGUGAGGGAAAGGCGAAAAGAACCCCGGCGAGGGGAGUGAAAAAGAACCUGAAACCGUGUACGUACAAGCAGUGGGAGCACCCUUUGGGUGUGACUGCGUA